GGGUUUCGGUUUAGGCAGCAGCAACAUCCUCUCCAGCCAAUUAGGGUGAUGAAGGGGUUAAAACGAAGCAUGGUGAUGGGCAUUGCUGAUUGUCAGAUAGGACCUUGGGUCACCUCAGACAAGCCUCUGGGCAUACCGGAUUAGGUUAGUGGAAGCGAAAAGACACAUGCUGAUUGUGAGCAUCUCCAUUCUAUGGAGUAGAGGGAGCUCUGGACUAAAUACAGAAGAAGAGCUUGAUAUGGGAAUCGGGUUUGUUGCUCUCUACUUCCUGACUGUGGCGGCAGCAGGACAGGCUAAGCUGCUUCAGGCUCAUCGCCUUGUACCCUUGGACUGUGAGCUGGAACUUCUCCCUUAAUCUGCUUUUGUCAGACUAUUAUAUCAUAGGGACAGGAAGAGAAGUGGUCUCACACUCCUUUGCUAGUGUCGUAAAUUAUGAUGGCAUCCGGGCACUUUCACCUCAGGUGUCAACUCACCCUCAUUGUAAACCCAAAGUGGGUGUGGUUGCCUGAGGAGACCUAGGCAUCAGAGAAGCUACCCAGUUGGCAUGGGGGUAGACCUGGAACCCAAAACCAGACCCAAAACCUGUCAUUCUCAGGGCCUUGCUCUAUAUCACUGUGUUCAGCUUCCUAGAGUUCCCAUGGGAACAAGGGUGAACCUUGAGGAUGCUGCUCAGUAAAACAUGCCAGUCACCAAAGGAGAGACACUGCAAAAUUCUGUUCAUACGAGACGAGAUACGCUGUUUUGGUUCAUCUUCACACUUCAACUUGACUGGAUUUGGAAUCACUAUGGAAACACAUCUCGGGGUGUGUCUAUGAUGGCUUUUUCAGAAAUGUUAACUAAAGAGGGAAGACUGAUCCUGAAUAUGGUGGUACUGUCAGUGUACUGGGGGUCCGGGUGGAGAAUAAGAGGGGAAAGGAGCUGAGCAACAGCCUGCGCCUCUCUCCUUCCUGACUGCGGACCGUGUCGCCAGCCUUAUGUUCCUGCCGCCAUGGACCACAUGGGUCGUGAUGGAUCACAUCCCCUUGAAAGUGAGCCGAAGUAAACUGCAUCUUCCUUGAGUUGCUUGGUCAUGGGAUGUAACGAUCACAGGCACACAUGGGCACGUGCAGAAUGGGGGAGAGACUGGUGGGUGCUUAGAGCCCGGGGUGGGGGAGCAGAAGGGCAAAGAUUCUGAUGAGCUUAUGAAAAGUUCCAAAAUUUACCUGUUGUCUACAUGAAGGAUGUUGACACACACGUCUAUGUCAUUUCUUUUCUCCCAGAGCUCAGCUUUGACCCAGAGCUCUAGGCUUGCAAAGAAUGUUCUCUGACCAUGAGCCGAGUCCUCUCAGCCUCAAGUACGCACUUUAAGCAAGACAGUGACACGGUUUGGGAAUCGUCACACAUCGCUGUUCUGGUGUGGUGGUACAGGCAUGUAAUUAUCUCAGUUUCUUGAAUGGCUGAGGCAGGAGGAUUGUUUAAAUAAAACAAUUGCAAGAUGGCUCAGCAGGUAGAAACACUUGCUGCCAAGAUUGACAAACCUGAGGUUGACUACUGGCAUUCACAUUGAAAAGAGAAUCAACUACUGCAAGUUUCCCUCUGGUCUCUAUAGUCAUAUAUAUAUUAUUUUAUCUUUCUAGUGUUUUGUUUUGUUUUGUUUUGUUUUUUGAGACAGGCUUUCCCUGUUAUGUGGCUCUGGCUGUCCUGGAACUUGCAAUCUGGCACCAAACUCACAGAGAUCUACCUGUCUCUGCCUCCCAAAUGCUGAGAUUAAAGGUGUAUAUUUAUAAUAAAUAAAUAUCUUUAAAAAGGGCUUCUGAUCUCCCAUGUGGCUCCACCCCUC
Molecule: long non-coding RNA, 1819 nt
Filed under: Mus musculus (house mouse)
Lineage: Eukaryota; Metazoa; Chordata; Mammalia; Rodentia; Muridae
Description: long non-coding RNA chr11:59889743-59891562
Source: RNAcentral